Podarcis lilfordi (Lilford's wall lizard) is the source of this 74-nucleotide non-coding RNA. The record is from the annotation of a GenBank genome assembly. NCBI's taxonomy places the organism in Eukaryota, Metazoa, Chordata, Lepidosauria, Squamata, Lacertidae.
GCCUGGACAACUCAGUUGGUUAGAGCAUGGUGCUGAUAAUCCCAGUGUUGCAGGUUUGAUCCCUGUAUGGGACA